This 986-nucleotide long non-coding RNA is filed under the name Sorghum bicolor (sorghum). RNAcentral's name for it is "long non-coding RNA (SBIC_LNC017111)". Lineage: Eukaryota; Viridiplantae; Streptophyta; Magnoliopsida; Poales; Poaceae. The record is from RNAcentral.
UCUUGUUUAGGAGUGUAGCAAACUUCUAGUUGUGUUUUCUUGUUGUAACUAGUGUUUAGCCUUCUUGCUAGAUUUGUGUAGGUGGCUUGCAUAGCUUAGUUAUGCUAGUGCUAAUAUAGCUUCGCCUUUUGUUUUACUAAUCAACUUGUCUAGUAUAGCUUAGUUGAAGUUUGUAUAGGCUAUUCACCCUCUCUAGUCAUUUGGACCUUUUAGGUGGCCUUAGAUUUCAGGCACAUUAUGUUAAAAAAAAAGAUUUUCAGGCACAUUGUGUCCACCAGCGAGCUAAAUUUUAAAUAUAUGUUCAUGAAAAUAUAAGAUUGAACUGUCCGAUUUCAGUUACCUCGUUCUACCGGCGAAAGAAUAGGAUGCUAAAUUUUAUAAUAUACCCAUGAAAAUAUGAGUGGGCUGAUUAAUUACCCGCUAAAUUAUAAUCCUAGUUCGCUUAACCAUAAACCAUUUCCUAGUAAAGACAGCCAGUCUCGGAAAAAAAAGAAAAAGAAAAAAGAAAAGCCAGCCUAGAGGAUCUUUCUGUUUGAGUUAUUUUAGUAGAUGCUGUGUAACACCUAAAAAUUUGAUUUCAAUUAAUAGGAAUUAAUUUGAUUUAAUUAAGUAUUUUUGUGAGCAUUUAAAUUUAAUACUUAAAUAAUUUUUUUAUUGAAAUUAAAAUUUUUUAUAAGUUUAGUAAACUUAAUUGUGCAUUCAUGCUGAGACAUAUUUUAUUUUGUGUUGAUUGCUUUUGGUUUGUAUUUAAUUGUCCUCAAAAUCCUUUGCAAAAAAGGCUUUGAAAAAAAAUAAAACAGAAAAGAAAUUAGAAAAAAGAAAAAGAAAAAGGGGAGACAGCUCCCUGGAACCAGGCCGGAGCCCAACUCGCUCGGCCCAGUCCCUCCCCUUUCUCCCGCGGCUCAGCUCCCCCUUUCCCCCUCACCUCGGCCCAACUGGCAGCCCCGCACGCGCGCCCUCCCCUCUCCCUUCUCUUUGUGUCCGUC